Molecule: long non-coding RNA, 719 nt
Filed under: Homo sapiens (human)
Lineage: Eukaryota; Metazoa; Chordata; Mammalia; Primates; Hominidae
Description: HSALNT0357519
Source: RNAcentral
CCACGCUCCAAAAACUGUUUCAUCUCAGAAGCAAGGCUGCUGCUGCUGUGCUGGCCGGGUUCCCUGAGGUUCUUGGAUCAGGAAAUGGGUAGAAAUCACAGGACAAUCUCUCUUCCCACCAAAAAAGUUGCGUAUUUUGGUAAGUGUUUGUCCUAGAGGGAAAAAACUGAAAUUUACAUUAGCAGUGCUGUGCAAGAUUCUUACAUAAAUCAAGACCUAAAAGCAGCUUGCAGUGGAGGUUUUGGUCCCCUGUUCAGGUGCUUGGACAGAAGCCAUAAGCUGGUGAGUGUGACAGGGAAAAGGAGGCAGUGAAGACAGGUGACAGGCACCUAGCAGGGAAGGAGGAUUCAGGAAUACCAGACUCCUUGGAAUGGAGUGUUGUUUUUCCUUUUUUUUUUUUUCAUCUCUGUAGGAAGGUGCUGGGCAGGGAUCCCAGAGAAAGAAAGGGUUGAAUACUCCUUUAACUGCCCUGGAUGAAGGGCACUGCUACAGCAGCUAGUACCGGAGACUCUCCUAUCUCAUGGUUGAGGCAGACCCAGGAUAGAAUAGUGAAUAAAAGGAAUGCUUAUAGGAAACAAUUUUGCGUGGAAUGCUAGAUGGCCAAGCCUCAGCCUUUGGUCCAGUGCAAUCCUUGCCUCACUUGUCAAUAGUGAAAAAUUAGUUUGGUUAGAAGAACCAUCUGGAAACACACCAGCUUCUGCUACCUUCAUGCUCAUUGU